UCAACAAUAGGAGAUCAUAGCAAGUAAAUUCGAAGUCAUCCAUUGAAGGCAAAUCAUAAUUGAGUUCUUGCUUACAGUUAAAGGUUGUUUUUCACUGCAGAGUAUUAUUAGAGAAUGCAUUUAUAUACGGUAAACUUUGAUUACUCAUCUGUUGUUUAUAUAUAUUGCUAGGCCGGGUUGAGAUUACCUCACAUUUUUUCCAACGGGCUUGCAGGAUGUUGUUGAAUGUUAAAGAAAUAUUUAAUGAUUAAGUUAUUCGCGUCAAUUUAAAAAAAAUAUACUAUUUCAAAAGAAAUAAUUCUUUGUGUUGCUAAACAUUCUACGCCAGGAACAUAUGAUAAAUUUCAUAAAUGUUCACAUAACUAUUAAAUAUUUUCACCAAAGUCUCUUAACUAUGUUUUUUAACACAACUUUACCCUUUCUAACACAAAAGUUACGUAUGCAGAAAAAUCUAACUUUCAAUAUAUGUGAUUGUUGUGUUAAUAAGGAAGUAUUAUAUUAGAAAACAUAAUUAAGUGACUUUAGUGAAAAAAAUCAUAAUUAUGUGACCAUCUAUGAUACUUAUCCUAGCAACAUAUAUAGCCCAUUAUUUUAACUUGUUAAUAUUUCAUUUUUGAAUCUUACGGUCUUAAUUUUAAUGCUUCUUUCAAUUCUGCAACAACUUUUUCAUCACCUGAUUUCUGAAAGUAUGUCAUCAUAAUAUAAAUUUCUCAAUUUUCAAAUAAGGGAAAAAUGAAAGACAAUCACCACAAAUCUAUAAUCGUAAGUAUGGUGACUUUAAUUAUUUGGGAAUCUUUCAUAAAUAGCUGCAUUUUGCUAGAAAAUUCACCUUCCAUAGCCACAUUUUACAUAAUUACCAUUUAUAUCCGAUGUAUUUGAUUUAUGCCCGUUGAAUUCGAUUUUACAGAUAGUAUGUAUUCAUAUAAAAUACGAAUACAGUCCCUAUUUAGUCGCGCAAAAAAUGAAAUUUAAUAUUUAAAAACAAAUUCCAAUCAAGCUUAUCUCGUUGAACUGAAUGUUUUCUUGUCUAAUACUACCA
Molecule: long non-coding RNA, 1039 nt
Filed under: Capsicum annuum
Lineage: Eukaryota; Viridiplantae; Streptophyta; Magnoliopsida; Solanales; Solanaceae
Description: long non-coding RNA (CANN_LNC010456)
Source: RNAcentral